Molecule: long non-coding RNA, 789 nt
Organism: Drosophila willistoni
Lineage: Eukaryota; Metazoa; Arthropoda; Insecta; Diptera; Drosophilidae
Exons: 5
Source: RefSeq, a predicted model, not a curated record
AAUGUCGAGAUAAAGACAAAUUUUGUUCUGCCUAAAUGUCUAGGGCAUGAAAACUUUUAAAGUUAACCUACAUAGUUACCCAGUAAACUAUUAUCAAUCAUUCGGCUAAAAAGUUUUUUCGGACUCAGUCAAUCCAUAAAUUGAAAAUAUAAUAUUUUUUUUGUACCGAAAAAAUGGAACGUAUAUUGACUUUGGCUGUGGGCGCUAUUCUUGGCUAUAUCAUUGGCAAAAAAAUGUGAAAACUAAACACAAAAUCGCAUUAUUUUUCGAUAAUUUGAAUAAUGGAAAAUUCGUGGAUUUGCCCACUACUUCUUGGAAUUUUUGUAGGCUAUUUAAUUGGCAAGAAUACAUAAAAGCAACAAUAACAAGUAGGCAGUUACAAAAAAAUUAUAAAAGAAAUUCAUAGCAAAUGGAUGGAGAUUGGUUUAUUACAUUUCUUGUAGGCUGCAUCGUGGGCUACUUAAUAGCCAAGAAUACGUAAAACGAAAUUCUUGUCGAACCGAAUCGGUCAGUUGUAGAAGCAAGUUCAACUUUCCAUUUAAAAUAAAUAAAAACCAUCUAUAGGCAAUGCAAGCUUCUCCUUACCAAAAAUAUUAAAAGCAAGCAAAUAAAUAGCAAAACAGGAACAUAACUCACCAUGACUCAUAUUAUAUCAUUUGCCUUGGGCGUAAUCAUUGGCAUGAUGAUGUGCAGACGAAACUGUUGAUCCUGGAAAUAAUGAAGAAAUUUCCGAAAAAUUACAAGUGAAAUGGCAAUAUUUAGAAAAUAAAAUUGUAUUAGUAUACAUUA